RNAcentral lists this long non-coding RNA (1205 nucleotides) under Lonchura striata (white-rumped munia). Its description in RNAcentral is "domestica (Bengalese finch) lncRNA (ENSLSDG00000002551.1)". The record is from RNAcentral. Lineage: Eukaryota; Metazoa; Chordata; Aves; Passeriformes; Estrildidae.
AAGCAUGCCAUGGGUGUGGUUCCUUGAAAAGCCAAUGCAAUGAAUCUUGAGGUGGAUUACUUUGAAGGCAGAAAUGAUAUGCAGUCAGAAGAUACCUUAUGACUUUCACUUCCUUUUAUCAAUGACCACAGUUUUGAUGCAACAGAAUACAGAAACUAUGUCUUGGCCAAUUUUUCUUUCUAAGAUACAGCCGUACAGCAGGUAAGUACCUUGAUAACAGUUUUGAUGGGCAUUGGUUCAGUAAUGCUAUUUCUGUAGUUAAUUUAAAAAAAAACAACACAAAGGAAGAAGAAACAAAGGAAAUUGUUCAAGUCAGUGUGGUUUGAUUUUAAAAUUCUGUUGGUCCCAUACUGAACAGGCAGUGCAGACAGCUUAACAGCUUGGAGAGAGUGACAACAGAAUGCCUCCGAGAUUCCAGGCCACCUUGCCAUAAAACGUUACCCAGUGUAAAUUUGUUUCUUUGUGAUUUAGGUUACUCAUUUAAGGCAUUUUGUUGAAAAAUUUUUCUCUGAAUUUUAUCUAGUGUGAAACAAACCAACAAACAAGUUUAUCAACCUCACAGAGAUUUUUGCAAUUAGAAGUUGGUUUUGGAGCAUCUUCAGCAGGAAGUGAGAAGACAGCUUGCUACCAUAGGCAGAGGGCAGCUUGAAGAAAGACAAAACUCCUGUUUGGAGACUCCCCAACACAGGUGUAUAAUCAGGAAAAUGAGCAAUGGAAGAGUCCAGUACUACAUUCCAGUAUUGGGCUGGUUUCUGUAUUGUUUGCUUGUUUUUUACUUUUUCCCCAGUGUGUGAAAGAACCUAACAAAAAGCUUCUGAGUGCAAUUAUAUUUACAGAGUAAGGCCGUGGUUAGGGUGUGUCUUCAUUGUAAUUAUUGUGUAACAUAAAUAUCCAUCCCUGAGAAAGGAGAAGGGGGACACAAAUCCAACACAGUUGAUUUUUAAGUGUAUGUAUGCUUAUGUUGUGCAAUCCGGUUUUACAAACUACUUCAACACCUGAGGUGAAUUAAGCAGAUUUUUUUCCUUUUUUUUUUUAGAUUUUUUUCAUUUUCUUAUAAAGAAUAAUGAAGAGGAUCCAUAAAUGGUUGCAAAAUAUAUGAAAUAUUGAGACAGCAGGAGUUACUAAGUGUAACAGGUUUGUCUGUCCAUGAGGUUAGAAUAGCCACUUGUGUGGUUGGGUAAAGAAAAUCUAACUAAAAAUUGCAG